AAAGUCAACUGUGGGGGAAUUGG
Molecule: non-coding RNA, 23 nt
Filed under: Cricetulus griseus (Chinese hamster)
Lineage: Eukaryota; Metazoa; Chordata; Mammalia; Rodentia; Cricetidae
Source: RNAcentral